This 356-nucleotide ribosomal RNA is filed under the name uncultured Planktothrix sp. RNAcentral describes it as "bacterial SSU rRNA". It matches the Rfam family "Bacterial small subunit ribosomal RNA", at positions 1026 to 1382 of the family's 1533-position model. Lineage: Bacteria; Bacillati; Cyanobacteriota; Cyanophyceae; Oscillatoriales; Microcoleaceae. The record is from RNAcentral.
ACGUCAACACAGGUGCUGCAUGGCUGUCGUCAGCUCGUGUCGUGAGAUGUUGGGUUAAGUCCCGCAACGAGCGCAACCCUCGUCGUUAGUUGCCAUCAUUAAGUUGGGAACUCUAGCGAGACUGCCGGUGACAAACCGGAGGAAAGGUGAGGAUGACGUCAAGUCAGCAUGGCCCUUACGUCCUGGGCGACACACGUACUACAAUGCGAGGGACAGAGAGCAGCCAACCCGCGAGGGAGAGCGAACCUCUUAAACCCUGGCACAGUUCAGAUUGCAGGCUGCAACUCGCCUGCAUGAAGGAGGAAUCGCUAGUAAUCGCAGGUCAGCAUACUGCGGUGAAUACGUUCCCGGGCCUU